UACGGAGGGGGCUAGCGUUGUUCGGAAUUACUGGGCGUAAAGCGCACGUAGGCGGCUUUGUAAGUUAGAGGUGAAAGCCCGGGGCUCAACUCCGGAAUUGCCUUUAAGACUGCAUCGCUUGAACGUCGGAGAGGUAAGUGGAAUUCCGAGUGUAGAGGUGAAAUUCGUAGAUAUUCGGAAGAACACCAGUGGCGAAGGCGACUUACUGGACGACUGUUGACGCUGAGGUGCGAAAGCGUGGGGAGCAAACAGG
RNAcentral lists this ribosomal RNA (253 nucleotides) under uncultured Sphingomonas sp. Its description in RNAcentral is "partial 16S ribosomal RNA". It matches the Rfam family "Bacterial small subunit ribosomal RNA", at positions 524 to 776 of the family's 1533-position model. Lineage: Bacteria; Pseudomonadati; Pseudomonadota; Alphaproteobacteria; Sphingomonadales; Sphingomonadaceae. The record is from RNAcentral.